UUGUUUGGAGGGACGGCUGAAAUUAUACCUUUAUGCUUAAGUUGUUCCCCACCUGUACACGUUCCACAAGGCUGAAGCCUUUGAGUUUUCCCAAGAGAAUCUAUCUAUAAGAGACAAAUAUAAGAUAUUGUAGUCAGGCUACCAUUCCCAAUCAAUUAAUUAUUUAUUAAUUUUAUCUAUCCCAUGGCAUAAGGCAACAGAGCCCAUGGCAUAAGGCAACAGG
Molecule: long non-coding RNA, 223 nt
Filed under: Elaeis guineensis (African oil palm)
Lineage: Eukaryota; Viridiplantae; Streptophyta; Magnoliopsida; Arecales; Arecaceae
Description: long non-coding RNA (EGUI_LNC015619)
Source: RNAcentral